This 205-nucleotide unclassified non-coding RNA is filed under the name Hevea brasiliensis (rubber tree). Lineage: Eukaryota; Viridiplantae; Streptophyta; Magnoliopsida; Malpighiales; Euphorbiaceae. The record is from RNAcentral.
AAAGAGGGGAAAGAAGAGAGAAAAGGGAAAAGUCGAGUGCAGAUUCUUGGGAGUUGGGAGAGGAGAGAAGAAAGAGAAUGAAAUUAAUUAUUUAUUUUAUAAAUUUAAAGUAGUUUUUUGAGAAAACCAUUAUUACCCAUGGUUUGGGGCAUUAAUGAGAUGUGACCUUUGACCAUUAUUAUUUCCCAUCAUCCCAUGCAUAUAC